Ailuropoda melanoleuca (giant panda) is the source of this 130-nucleotide long non-coding RNA. RefSeq lists it as uncharacterized. The transcript has 2 exons. Lineage: Eukaryota; Metazoa; Chordata; Mammalia; Carnivora; Ursidae. The record is from RefSeq and is a predicted model, not a curated record.
CCUGAUGGAGAAAAGAAGGCGUAUGUUCGACUGGCUCCCGACUAUGAUGCUUUGGAUGUUGCCAACAAAAUUGGGAUCAUCUAAACUGAGACCAGCUGGCUAAAUCUAAAUAUAAAUUUUUUUCACCAUA